This 459-nucleotide ribosomal RNA is filed under the name uncultured bacterium. Its description in RNAcentral is "partial 16S ribosomal RNA". It matches the Rfam family "Bacterial small subunit ribosomal RNA", at positions 338 to 795 of the family's 1533-position model. The record is from RNAcentral.
CCUACGGGUGGCAGCAGUGAGGAAUAUUGGUCAAUGGUCGGGAGACUGAACCAGCCAAGCCGCGUGAGGGAGGAAGGUACAGAGUAUCGUAAACCUCUUUUGUCAGGGAACAAAGGCGGGGACGUGUCCCCGGAUGAGUGUACCUGAAGAAACAGCAUCGGCUAACUCCGUGCCAGCAGCCGCGGUAAUACGGAGGAUGCGAGCGUUAUCCGGAUUUAUGGGGUUUAAGGGGUGCGCAGGCGGUUUGUUAAGUCAGCGGUCAAAGCCCGGGGCUCAACCCCGGCCCGCCGUUGAAACUGGCAGGCGCGAGUUGGAGAGAGGUAUGCGGAAUGCGCGGUGUAGCGGUGAAAUGCAUAGAUAUCGCGCAGAACUCCGAUUGCGAAGGCAGCAUGCCGGCUCCACACUGACGCUGAGGCACGAAAGCGUGGGUAUCGAACAGGAUUAGAUACCCGUGUAGUC